AAGACAAAUAACUACAGACCUCUGCAACUGCUGAUACCGGUUCAGGAUGAAUUGCAGAUGCUGUGAGAGAGUCAGUGGUUCAACCAGCCAACAAACAGGAAAAGCUCAAGUCGGAGUCUUAACUGUCAGCAACUCUACCCAAAAAAAUCAGGCUACUGGUAUUGCCCACUAAGAAAAACAGUGGUCUGGUAUGAAGGUUAUCUGUGUUUUGGAACAUGUUCUUAAUAUUCAUUAAAUAAUAAAAAAAAGUUUGACACUUUA
This is a long non-coding RNA of Alosa sapidissima (American shad), 261 nucleotides long. RefSeq lists it as uncharacterized. The transcript is spliced from 2 exons. The record is from RefSeq and is a predicted model, not a curated record. Lineage: Eukaryota; Metazoa; Chordata; Actinopteri; Clupeiformes; Clupeidae.